Odontomachus brunneus is the source of this 516-nucleotide long non-coding RNA. RefSeq lists it as uncharacterized. The transcript is spliced from 3 exons. The record is from RefSeq and is a predicted model, not a curated record. Lineage: Eukaryota; Metazoa; Arthropoda; Insecta; Hymenoptera; Formicidae.
AAAUAAAGACGUGGAAAGUCUGCAACUGUCGACAUUUUUUACCUUGUUGAGAAGUUUGGUCGUUGGAAAGAAGGGUUGCCAUCGAGUGAGCGUUUUGGUACUGCAUUAUUAACGAGUCUUUAGUCGCAACGGUAACUUUUAGCAGACAGUUGAGACACAGCAGCAUAAGAGAAACACACUGGUGACACGAUGCCGAUGACUGAUUAGUGCUAAUGUAUCUUCAACUUGUACAAUGAAAGUGUGACAGACGCAUUUGAACUCAGCGGAAUUCUGUUACAAAUGGAUUCGGAGACUAUGAAUAUCAGCUUUGUAUCUCACCAGUUCGUCUUUGAUUAUCGAGGCAAUAAAGGACAUGGUCAGAAAAAGGAAGACUGUAGGGUAGAAACGGAGAAACAAACGUAUGAAAUGAAAUGGAGACAUCAGUGCGUAUUGAAGGAACGGAUGCCAAAAUGUUAAAAAGACGUAAAUACAAUGUUUAUUUCAAAUUUUAUGAUCAUAUGUAAUUUUAAUAUUAUC